CAACCCUCAAGCUCUGCUUGGUAUUGGGCGUCACCCCUCCUGGUGCGCCCCAAAAUCAGUGGCGGUGCCAUCUGGCUUCGAGCGCAGUAGAUCAUCUCGCUCUGGAGGCUCCAGCUGUGUACCUGCCAGCAACCCCUAAUUUAUCAAA
This 148-nucleotide unclassified non-coding RNA is filed under the name uncultured Leotiomycetes. RNAcentral describes it as "sequence contains ITS2". The record is from RNAcentral. Lineage: Eukaryota; Fungi; Ascomycota; Leotiomycetes.